This 633-nucleotide ribosomal RNA is filed under the name Botanophila rubrifrons. RNAcentral's name for it is "partial 12S ribosomal RNA". The stretch from base 1 to 385 matches the Rfam family "Microsporidia small subunit ribosomal RNA", at positions 779 to 1311 of the family's 1311-position model. The record is from RNAcentral. Lineage: Eukaryota; Metazoa; Arthropoda; Insecta; Diptera; Anthomyiidae.
UAAAAAAUUUGGCGGUAUUUUAUUAUUCAGAGGAACCUGUUCUGUAAUCGAUAAUCCACGAUGGACCUUACUUAAGUUUGUAAUCAGUUUAUAUACCGUCGUUAUUAGAAUAUUUUAUAAGAAUGUUAAUUUUCAUAAUUUUAUAAUAAGAAAAUAUAUCAGAUCAAGGUGUAGCUUAUAUUUAAGUAGAAAUGGGUUACAAUAAAAUUAUUUAUAUGGAUAUAAAUUUGAAAUAUUUAUUGAAGGUGGAUUUGAUAGUAAAAUUAUAAAGAUUAAUAAUUUGAUUUUAGCUCUAAAAUAUGUACACAUCGCCCGUCACUCUUAUUAUUAAGGUAAGAUAAGUCGUAACAUAGUAGAUGUACUGGAAAGUGUAUCUAGAAUGCAAUUUAAAGCUUAUUAAGUAAAGUAUUUCAUUUACAUUGAAAAGAUUUUUGUGCAAAUCAAUAUAAAUUGAUUAAAUUUUAUUUAUUAAUAAUUUUUUUUUUUAAUUUAAAUUAUUAAAAAUAAUUAUAAAAUGAUUUGUUUUAGUAUUUAAUAAAGAAAAAAUAAUUUUAAUUAUAGUGUAAUAGUAUUGUGAAAGAAAAUUGAAAUAAAUUGAAAAAUUUUUAUUUUAAAAGAAAAUUUAAUUUAUUG